CGUUUAGGGAGAGAAAUAAAAGAGCGUGAGAAAGAGAAAUGGAGAAUAUGGCUAUGAGAGAAUAUAUAUAUAGAAUUAAGCUGAAAUUCUAUUGAUAGUAUUUGAGCUAUUUUGCUAUCGAGUUUUUAACCGUUGGAUAAAAAAUUUUAGGUUAGGAUGAUAGUAAUCCCCUAGCUAGGAUUUAAUUAGUGGUGGUCCCUAGGGUUGAGUGGAUGUUGGUUGAAUAGUAUGAUCUAUAAGGUGAAAUUGAUUAAAAUAUAGAUCUAACGGCUAAAAAAUCGACAGUAAAGGAAUUCAAAUACUAUUAAUAGUAUCCCAACUCAACUCCUUAUAAACCAAAUUAUUAAUUCAA
RNAcentral lists this long non-coding RNA (352 nucleotides) under Ananas comosus (pineapple). Its description in RNAcentral is "long non-coding RNA (ACOM_LNC016384)". The record is from RNAcentral. Lineage: Eukaryota; Viridiplantae; Streptophyta; Magnoliopsida; Poales; Bromeliaceae.